Molecule: small nuclear RNA, 141 nt
Organism: Toxorhynchites rutilus septentrionalis
Lineage: Eukaryota; Metazoa; Arthropoda; Insecta; Diptera; Culicidae
Product: U4 spliceosomal RNA
Exons: 1
Source: RefSeq, a predicted model, not a curated record
AGAUUUGUGCAGUGGCGAUAUCAUAACCAAUGAGGUUUAUCCGAGGUGCGAUUAUUUUUAGUUGAACUAAAAAAAACCCGAGAUAAAAGUCUUCGUUGAUUCAUAAGAACAAAAGUAAACAAAUGACACGCGAUAAAAAGC